This 428-nucleotide ribosomal RNA is filed under the name uncultured bacterium. RNAcentral's name for it is "bacterial SSU rRNA". It matches the Rfam family "Bacterial small subunit ribosomal RNA", at positions 354 to 796 of the family's 1533-position model. The record is from RNAcentral.
GUAGGGAAUAUUGCACAAUGGAGGAAACUCUGAUGCAGCGACGCCGCGUGAGUGAUGAAGGCCUUCGGGUCGUAAAGCUCUGUCGCAGGGGAAUAACACAAUGAAGGUACCCUGUAAGAAAGGAUCGGCUAACUUCGUGCCAGCAGCCGCGGUAAGACGAGGGAUCCUAGCGUUGUUCGGAAUCAUUGGGCGUAAAGCGGAUGUAGGUGGCUAUGUAAGUCAGAUGUGAAAGCCUGGGGCUCAACCCCAGAAGUGCAUUUGAUACUGCGUAGCUUGAGUGUCGGAGAGGUUACUAGAAUUGUUGGUGUAGUGGUGAAAUACGUAGAUAUCAACAGGAAUACCGGAGGCGAAGGCGGGUAACUGGCCGAACACUGACACUGAGAUCCGAAAGCGUGGGGAGCAAACAGGAUUAGAAACCCUAGUAGUCC